UACGGGAGGCAGCAGUGGGGAAUAUUGCACAAUGGGCGCAAGCCUGAUGCAGCCAUGCCGCGUGUAUGAAAAAGGCCUUCGGGUUGUAAAGUACUUUCAGUCGUGAGGAAGGUGUUAAGGUUAAUAACCUUAGCAAUUGACGUUAGCGACAGAAGAAGCACCGGCUAACUCCGUGCCAGCAGCCGCGGUAAUACGGAGGGUGCGAGCGUUAAUCGGAAUUACUGGGCGUAAAGGGCACGCAGGCGGUUAAUUAAGUUGGAUGUGAAAUCCCCGGGCUUAACCUGGGAAUGGCAUUCAAGACUGGUUAGCUAGAGUCUUGUAGAGGGGGUAGAAUUCCAUGUGUAGCGGUGAAAUGCGUAGAGAUGUGGAGGAAUACCGGGUGGCGAAGGCGGCCCCUGGACAAAGACUGACGCUCAUGUGCGAAAGCGUGGGGAGCAAACAGGGAUUAGAUACC
This 454-nucleotide ribosomal RNA is filed under the name uncultured bacterium. RNAcentral's name for it is "bacterial SSU rRNA". It matches the Rfam family "Bacterial small subunit ribosomal RNA", at positions 340 to 786 of the family's 1533-position model. The record is from RNAcentral.